Molecule: ribosomal RNA, 775 nt
Filed under: Vishniacozyma heimaeyensis
Lineage: Eukaryota; Fungi; Basidiomycota; Tremellomycetes; Tremellales; Bulleribasidiaceae
Description: eukaryotic LSU rRNA
Rfam family: Eukaryotic large subunit ribosomal RNA (bases 144-775)
Source: RNAcentral
AACCUCACCCCACUUGGGUUUUUGCCCGAGCGGUGGUGGAUUGGGCGUCUGCCGUCAAUGGCUCGCCUGAAAAGCAUAAGCAACUUUGGAUGUAAUACGUUUCAUCCUUUCGAGUGGCUGACAACCCCACAUAUCUCAUGAUCUGGCCUCAAAUCAGGUAGGGCUACCCGCUGAACUUAAGCAUAUCAAUAAGCGGAGGAAAAGAAACUAACUAGGAUUCCCUUAGUAACGGCGAGUGAACCGGGAUGAGCUCAAAUUUAAAAUCUGGCGUCUUUCAGGCGUCCGAGUUGUAAUCUAUAGAGGCGUUUUCCGCGCCGGACCGCGUCCAAGUCCCUUGGAAUAGGGUAUCAAAGAGGGUGACAAUCCCGUACUUGACGCGACGACCGGUGCUCUGUGAUACGUUCUCAACGAGUCGAGUUGUUUGGGAAUGCAGCUCUAAACGGGUGGUAAAUUCCAUCUAAGGCUAAAUAUUGGCGAGAGACCGAUAGCGAACAAGUACCGUGAGGGAAAGAUGAAAAGCACUUUGGAAAGAGAGUUAAACAGCACGUGAAAUUGUUAAAAGGGAAACGAUUGAAGUCAGUCGUGUGAAAGGUAUUCAGCCGUCUCUGGCGGUGUAUUUGCCUUUCACGGGUCAACAUCAGUUUGAUCCGGCAGAAAAAGGCGGGAGGAAGGUGGCACCCUCGGGUGUGUUAUAGCCUCCUGUCACAUGUGUCGGACCAGACUGAGGAACGCAGCUCGCAGCAAUGCCGGGGUUCGCCCACGUACGAGCUUAGGA